AAUAUUGUACAAUGGGGGCAACCCUGAUCCAGCCACGCCGCGUGUGCGAAAAAGGUAUUCGGAGUGUCAAGCCCUUUAAGGGGGGGGGAAGGGCUUUAGGUUAAUACCCUGAAGUUGUGAUGUUCACAACAGAAGAAGCACCGGAUAACGCUGCGUCAGCAGCCGCGGUAAUAAGGAGGGUGCAAGCGUUAAUCGGAAUUGCUGGGCGUAAAGCGCGCGUAGGUGGUUCAGUAAGAUGGGUGUGAAAUCCCCGGGCUUAACCUGGGAACUGCUUUCAUGACUGCUGAGCUAGAGUACGGUAGAGGGUAGUGGAAUUUCCUGUGUAGCGGUGAAAUGCGUAGAUAUAGGAAGGAACACCAGUGGCGAAGGCGACUACCUGGACUGAUACUGACACUGAGGUGCGAAAGCGUGGGGAGCAAAC
Molecule: ribosomal RNA, 421 nt
Filed under: uncultured bacterium
Lineage: Bacteria
Description: partial 16S ribosomal RNA
Rfam family: Bacterial small subunit ribosomal RNA
Source: RNAcentral